AUACUUAACCUGGCAGGGAAGAUACCAUUAUCACAAAGGUGAUUUUCUCAGGGCAAGGCUUAUCUAUUGCACUUUGAAUGUGCUUACCCCUGUAAUUUCUCCAAAUGUGGGAAACUCGACUGCAUAAUUUGUGAGAGUGGGGAACUGUGUUAGCACUUUCCCGUG
Otolemur garnettii (small-eared galago) is the source of this 165-nucleotide non-coding RNA. The record is from Rfam. Lineage: Eukaryota; Metazoa; Chordata; Mammalia; Primates; Galagidae.